Molecule: ribosomal RNA, 292 nt
Filed under: uncultured bacterium
Lineage: Bacteria
Description: partial 16S ribosomal RNA
Rfam family: Bacterial small subunit ribosomal RNA
Source: RNAcentral
GUGUCAGCCGCCGCGGUAAUACGGAGGGGGCGAGCGUUAUUCGGAAUUAUUGGGCGUAAAGGGCGCGUAGGCGGCUUUCUAAGUCAAAGGUGAAAUCCCUCGGCUCAACUGAGGAACUGCCUUUGAAACUGGAAGGCUUGAGGCCGGGAGGGGGUAGCGGAAUUCCCAGUGUAGCGGUGAAAUGCGUAGAUAUUGGGAGGAACACCAGUGGCGAAGGCGGCUACCUGGACCGGUACUGACGCUGAUGCGCGAAAGCGUGGGUAGCAAACAGGAUUAGAAACCCCUGUAGUCC